CCCCAGAUGUUGCUGAACUACAACUCCCAUGAUUCUUUCAAUUAAAAAGGGGAAUCGUGGAAGUUGUAGUUCAGCAAUAUCUGGG
Pelobates cultripes (western spadefoot toad) is the source of this 85-nucleotide non-coding RNA. Lineage: Eukaryota; Metazoa; Chordata; Amphibia; Anura; Pelobatidae. The record is from the annotation of a GenBank genome assembly.